RNAcentral lists this ribosomal RNA (1053 nucleotides) under uncultured bacterium. RNAcentral's name for it is "bacterial SSU rRNA". It matches the Rfam family "Bacterial small subunit ribosomal RNA", at positions 336 to 1393 of the family's 1533-position model. The record is from RNAcentral.
CUCCUACGGGAGGCAGCAGUGAGGAAUAUUGGUCAAUGGGCGAGAGCCUGAACCAGCCAAGUAGCGUGAAGGAUGACCGCCCUAUGGGUUGUAAACUUCUUUUAUAUGGGAAUAAAGUUUGCCACGUGUGGCAUUUUGUAUGUACCAUAUGAAUAAGGAUCGGCUAACUCCGUGCCAGCAGCCGCGGUAAUACGGAGGAUCCGAGCGUUAUCCGGAUUUAUUGGGUUUAAGGGAGCGUAGGUGGACAUGUAAGUCAGUUGUGAAAGUUUGCGGCUCAACCGUAAAAUUGCAGUUGAUACUGCGUGUCUUGAGUACAGUAGAGGUGGGCGGAAUUCGUGGUGUAGCGGUGAAAUGCUUAGAUAUCACGAAGAACUCCGAUUGCGAAGGCAGCUCACUGGACUGCAACUGACACUGAUGCUCGAAAGUGUGGGUAUCAAACAGGAUUAGAUACCCUGGUAGUCCACACAGUAAACGAUGAAUACUCGCUGUUUGCGAUAUACAGUAAGCGGCCAAGCGAAAGCAUUAAGUAUUCCACCUGGGGAGUACGCCGGCAACGGUGAAACUCAAAGGAAUUGACGGGGGCCCGCACAAGCGGAGGAAUAUGUGGUUUAAUUCGAUGAUACGCGAGGAACCUUACCCGGGCUUAAAUUGCAGAUGAAUUACGGUGAAAGCCGUAAGCCGCAAGGCAUCUGUGAAGGUGCUGCAUGGUUGUCGUCAGCUCGUGCCGUGAGGUGUCGGCUUAAGUGCCAUAACGAGCGCAACCCUUGUUGUCAGUUACUAACAGGUUCCGCUGAGGACUCUGACAAGACUGCCAUCGUAAGAUGUGAGGAAGGUGGGGAUGACGUCAAAUCAGCACGGCCCUUACGUCCGGGGCUACACACGUGUUACAAUGGCAGGUACAGAGAGACGGUCCCUUGCAAAAUGGAUCAAAUCCUUAAAGCCUGUCUCAGUUCGGACUGGGGUCUGCAACCCGACCCCACGAAGCUGGAUUCGCUAGUAAUCGCGCAUCAGCCAUGGCGCGGUGAAUACGUUCCCGGGCCUUGUACACACCGC